UAAGAAAUAAAAUAAAAAAAAUCAUGUAAUACUACAUCAGUGUUAUGUUAUUGUAUGACUUCAUCUUUUAUACAGUCGGGUUCGGGGUUUCGGGCAGCCAUGGCGAAUUUCGGCAAGAUUUUACCCCAGUGAAAAAGGCUUGUAAUCCACAGUGAUCAGCUAAGAUGUUGUUUCACUGGAUUAUUUAAUUGGGCAUAUAAUUGGAUAAUUCUGGAUCAGCUGAGAUGUUAUUUCACUGGAUUAUUUAAUGGAUAGACUUAUUGGGCAUAUAUUUGGAUAUCUCUGUCCUCAACCUGGAAGAUAUGUAUUGUUCCUAACCAUCUAUAUAAUCCAUUCUCUAUGAAGUUCAGACUGUCUGCUCUUCCUUUGGAAAUACACAGUUAUAGUCAACCAACAUAGAAACACACAAACUUGAAGGAUUCUCUAGUGAGGGCUUAUGGAAAUGAUCUAUGUCUACUCUCAGAAUGGUGAAAGACUAUCAGAUUAUGCAAAGACUAACAGAAUAUCCUCUCUUGGAACACUGAAACAAGAAAAUCAAACAGGAGAUGGAUGGAGGAUUUAA
Molecule: long non-coding RNA, 562 nt
Organism: Saccostrea cuccullata (small rock oyster)
Lineage: Eukaryota; Metazoa; Mollusca; Bivalvia; Ostreida; Ostreidae
Exons: 5
Source: RefSeq, a predicted model, not a curated record